This 778-nucleotide ribosomal RNA is filed under the name uncultured Neocallimastigales. Its description in RNAcentral is "partial large subunit ribosomal RNA". It matches the Rfam family "Eukaryotic large subunit ribosomal RNA", at positions 23 to 638 of the family's 3401-position model. Lineage: Eukaryota; Fungi; Neocallimastigomycota; Neocallimastigomycetes; Neocallimastigales. The record is from RNAcentral.
GAGACUCUGUGCGCGUGCAUAUCAAUAAGCGGAGGAAAAGAAACUAACAAGGAUUCCCUUAGUAACGGCGAGUGAAGCGGGAAGAGCUCAAAUUUGAAAUCUUCAAGGUUCUACCUUGACGAAUUGUAGUUUAUAGAAGUGUUUUCUGUAGUGGAGUUUGGUAAAAGUUCUUUGGAAUAGGACAUCAUAGAGGGUGAGAAUCCCGUAUUUGACCGUUACUUUCCAGCUGUGUGAUACACUUUCAAAGAGUCGGAUUGUUUGGGAAUGCAGUCCAAAAUGGGUGGUAAAUUUCAUCUAAAGCUAAAUAUUGGCGAGAGACCGAUAGCGAACAAGUACCGUGAGGGAAAGAUGAAAAGAACUUUGAAAAGAGAGUUAAACAGUACGUGAAAUUGUCAAAAGGGAAGCGUUUGACACCAGUGUUGUUUAGUUGAAAAUCAAUUCAAUAUUUUUCGAUUCUAAGUAGUAUUGACUUCAUCAGCUUGCUGCUUUCUUCUCAGGAAAUUAUUUAAUGCACUUUUCAGUUAACAAGUCAACAUCAAUUUCUUUUGUUGUAAAAGGGUAAGAGGAAGGUGGCUUGCGCUUCGGCUCAAGUGUUUAUAGCCUUUUAUCUCCUGCAAUCGGAGAGAUUGAGGUCUGCAGCGUAGAUCCUUCGGGGUUAGAUACAUUGGUGCUAAGCUAUAGCCUUGUAUAGACAACUUGUUGACUAUGCUCAGUCAUGUAGCUUACUCGCUGAUGCUAUUUUACCUACGCUUAGGAUGUUGACAGCAGUAUAGACUGU